This is a long non-coding RNA of Lytechinus variegatus (green sea urchin), 1387 nucleotides long. RefSeq lists it as uncharacterized. NCBI's taxonomy places the organism in Eukaryota, Metazoa, Echinodermata, Echinoidea, Temnopleuroida, Toxopneustidae. The record is from RefSeq and is a predicted model, not a curated record. The transcript is spliced from 4 exons.
UCAUUUGUCUUGGGGAAGAAAUGUUUCUACCACUGCAAGAAUCUAUCUACCAUAACAAAUAUCAUUACCUGUGAACAUUUACCAAUUCUUGCUCUGUCCUAUACAAAUGAUAUGCAGCUUUAAGGUAAGAGAUGUAUGUUACCAAUGCACCUGUCUACCACACCAGAUGUCACUGCACCAUAUAUUGAACAAUUCUUGCUCAAUACUUCACUGAUUUACAACCUUGACAAACCAGAAACGACCGCUCACCGGUUCCUCACAAGUGUUUACGCUCAUCAAGGGUCCCUGGUAAUUGUCACGCGCGAUCUGACAAAUUUGAAGUGAAUGUUUGCUUCUGUAUAGCGACAUGGAAGAUCCUUCAACCAAAAAAAGAAGGAGAAAAGGGAGGAGACGGAGGAAGAGCGAUGAGCAGAGACUAAGCAUUGUCUGAUGAGAUGUAGGACUUCAGGCAGUUUGCAGGAAAUCCAUGGUGAAUGAAUGACUUUUCUGCCAAGUGGAAAUAUUUUGGAGAUAUCAUUUUGUGAAACAGGAAGAACAACAUCGAUAAGGUAAGAUUCUCAAUUUACUUUAAAACUGAAUAUUUCAUUUCAAGUAUGCGAGAAAGAGAAAGAAAAUUAGAUAAAGAUAAUGAAGGAAGCCAUAAUAGGAUAAAAAUUGCAUGUAGGCAUAAACUUUGAAAAAAAAUACUUAUGAAGCACCUCAAGUGUUUUCAUAUCCAAUCCUGAUUGGUCUGUCUCCUUUGUUCCCAAAUAUCACCUUGGCCAAAAAGAAAGUAUAAAAGCAAGAUUAUUCAUCACAAUCAACCACAUUGAUUAGAAAACAGACAAAACACAAGAUGACAUCGUUAAAACUUCUGUGUUAUAAUUGAGGAUUGGUGUGAUUGUCAUCUAUAGAAGAUGUGAAUGUGUUACUGAAGUAUUGACAUGGAAACAAAAUAAAGGUGAAAUUGAAGGAGAAUUAAGGUAAAGACAAAUAUUUGAUUUAAUUUAAUGUGUUUCAAUUUAUUGAUUUUGAUGUGAUUUGAAGUGAAUUAAUUUAUUGAUUCUGAUGCGAUGUUAUUUGAUUUGAUGGGGUUUUGAAAAAGAGAGAAAAGAAGAUAAAGAAGGGGAAGAUAAGCAGAGAGCUGAUUUGCGGUUAGCUUCAAAAAAGUUCAUACUGAAAAUAUGUUUACAGGUUAAGACAAUCUGCACAAAAAUCCAUUUAUCUCAAUAUUGUACCGUUGUGUUCUGAUGUAUGGAUUAAUUCAAGUAGAAAAUAUUGCUCCUGACCUGUGCAAUAAGUGACCCCUCAAAAGAUAACAUUCUUGAUACACUGCAGGCCAGAUAGGGAAAUAGGUAAUAGUGAGAUAGAUGGGUUGAAAAAAGUAUUUUGUUGAGAAUUGACAAUG